Molecule: long non-coding RNA, 744 nt
Organism: Chenopodium quinoa (quinoa)
Lineage: Eukaryota; Viridiplantae; Streptophyta; Magnoliopsida; Caryophyllales; Amaranthaceae
Exons: 2
Source: RefSeq, a predicted model, not a curated record
GAGAAGAAAAGACACGGAAAAAAAAAGGAAAGGAUAAGCUUCCAAUGUACUUGCGUUCACCUUUCAUGGUUGAACAUGAAAAACUUUUCAAGAAUGUGGACAAUAGAAAGGUAGCUGAGUAUGCGUUUGCUCAAGGAGAUAAUAAGGAGCUUUUGUAUGCUGAUAACAUGGGGACAACGAUUACGAGAGAUGAGAUUCAUAGUCUCAUAGAAGAUAAGCACAUGUUGAACAAUGUUGUGGAUGCUUAUGUUUGCCUAUUGAAUUUUGAAAAUAAAAGACGUGGUGUAGACAAGAAGAGUAGAUUCUUUUUCACUACUGAAUGCUAUGUAUGUUUUCGAACUUAAAAUUAUAACUGUGUUCUAAGAGUAGAUUCUUUUUGUUUCUCAUAUAGAUUAUACUAUGCACCUAUGUUCUAAUUACUUAUGUUUUAAUUUCUUUUUCUUUUUCAGCUCAUACGUUGUACAAAAAAAAUACUUCAAAUCAAAUGAAAGGCAAGAUGAUAGAAUGAAGGCUUUGUUUGAUAGAAUGCAACAAGAAAUGACAACGGCCGAAGUAACAAGCUUCAAAAGCAUUCAAUUGGUAACUUGGUAUCUUAUUAUGUUGUACUUUUUUCUUAAUAUAUGUUCUAAUUAUUGGUUUUGUUUAUGUUCUAAUUAUUUUUAUCUAUGUUUUAAAGUAUCUACUUAUGUUCUAAACUACUUAUUUAUCUUCUAAACUACUUACUUAUGUUCUAAACUACAUGUU